Non-coding RNA from Arvicanthis niloticus (Nile rat), 1158 nucleotides. NCBI's taxonomy places the organism in Eukaryota, Metazoa, Chordata, Mammalia, Rodentia, Muridae. The record is from RefSeq and is a predicted model, not a curated record.
UGGCCUGGCCCAGAGCGGCACUGUCCCUACCCCCAAGCCCCUCUCAGUGGAGGCUCCACCUGUCCCUGAGACUGGGGAGGAUGGAAAGCUAAACUCACCACCCAAAGCCAGCAAAUUCCAGCAAGUCCCCCACCCAAGGGAGGACCCCAGCAACUUGCCUCAGCCCUCCUCAGUCCUCAAUUCCAUCCAGCCCCCACCCCCCCGAACCUACCAUGGCCAACUAUUAUGAAGUGCUGGGUGUACAAUCUAGUGCCUCCCCUGAGGACAUCAAGAAGGCCUACCGAAAGCUGGCUUUGCGUUGGCACCCUGACAAGAACCCCGACAACAAAGAAGAGGCCGAAAAGAAGUUUAAGCAGGUUUCCGAAGCCUAUGAAGUUUUGUCAGACUCUAAGAAGCGUUCUGUGUACGACCGGGCAGGCUGUGAAGGCUGGAGAGCGGGUGGCGGGGCCAGUGUCCCCCACGGAGGUCCCUUCGGUGCUGGGUAUCCCUUCCGAAAUCCUGAGGAUAUCUUCCGUGAGUUCUUUGGGGGACUGGACCCUUUUUCCUUCGAAUUCUGGGACACCCCGUUCAGCAACCGAGGCCGGUCCCAUGGUUUGCGUGGAGCCUUCUCUUCGGGCUUCGGUGAGUUCCCAGCUUUCAUGGAAGCCUUCUCAUCUCUCAAUACUCUGGGCCGUGGUGGGGGCAACCGCUCCACCUUUUCAUCCACUUCCUUUGGUGGCUCCGGUUCUGGCAGCUCAGGGUUCAAGUCAGUGAUGUCAUCUACUGAGAUGGUGAACGGCCGUAAGGUAACCACCAAGCGCAUCAUCGAGAACGGCCAAGAGCGUGUAGAGGUGGAAGAAGAUGGACAGCUCCGGUCAGUUACUGUCAACGGCAAGGAGAAGCUGAAGAGGGUGGACAGCAAGUGACAGCCACCUAACUCAUCCCUGGGUCAGCCUAGGGGGGCCACAAGGGGCCACAGUAGUCGCAACCUAGUGGUUAAUAAAUGUGCCAAAGUAUUGCUUGGCAUCGCACUGUCCUCUCUGCUGGACCACACUUCCUGGGAGCCAUGGACAGCAUCCACUCUGGUUUUUCUGUGGGAAUCCCAUCUCAAGGUGCUCCUGUGUGAGAAGCGGGACCUGCUAGUCUCUUUCCAGCUCAUUAAAUUAUUCCUGAAAUGUC